UCGACCACAUUGCAUAUGGCCGCCCUCACGCCGCACAUGUGUCCAGUCACAACAUUGCAGAAGAGUUUUCGUUGAACUUGCAAAAAGUUGAGCAAUAAUGGGGAAAGCUCGAAAAGACCGCAAAAGGGGGCCCCGGCACGAUCCUGUUGGCCUGAACGGGAGUGAAUGUGUCGAGGAAGAAUUAAAUGGUUCCAAAGCUUCCGUCAACAAGGGAGAAGCUCUGAUUCAAACUGUCGUUGAUCAGCUCCAGUCCUCCAAUGUCGACGACAAGCUGUGCGGCUUGCACAUGCUCUCUGAGGUGUUCGACGGCCGCACCCUCGAGGAGGUCGUGCGGAACCGCGUCGUCCGCAUGGCCGCCCCGUUACUUGUUGAUCCUAAUUCAACGGUCCGAAACUCUACAGCUGGUGCCAUCAGAAACCUGACGACGAAUGGUGGUCCAGACUUUUGUGACAUUCUCAUUGAGCAGGACGUAAUGACACCUCUCUGUAGUCUGAUUCAAAAGUUUGGAAAUGAGUGGCAGCCAAAAGUCGAGGGGACAUCGAGUGGCGAUGAAGAGGCAGACACAUUCAUCCAAGCUGUCAACAUCUUGUGGAACUUAUGUGAAAGUAGUGCCACAGCCUUAAAAUACUUCAAUCAAGCUCACUUACUGCCUCUACUUGUGAGAUGCCUUGAUAUCAAUACCUUUGGAACAGAUGUCGCAAUCACUGUUGCUGAGUGCUUACAGACUGUGACAGAGGAAAACAAAGAAGCUAUAUCUGAAAUGCAGGGUUUGAGUGAACAACUUCAACAGCUUCUCAGCUCUCCAAAUGAAGAAAUUAAUAUGAUUCUUCUCAAAGUUUUAAUAGCAGGGGUUCUUAUUAAUAUUCAUUCAGACGGAAUUGGUGCAAUGGACCCAAGCCGUUUAUCCCUGAUUAUGGCAUCCCUGUCUACGGCACUAGCUUAUGAUCAACGAAGGAUGUUAAAUCAACUCACAAGUGAACUAGAUCUCAAUAUUCAAAAGCUGAACCCUCGAAAUAGGAGAAGGAAGCAAGAAGAUGUGGAGGAAGAGGAUGAGGAAAUGGACAGUGAAAAUGAAAAAGAGUCUGUAGAAGAAUCAAAACCAACAAAGAAGCUAAAAACUCGAGGAAAAAGCACUCACACACAAGAAAGAACUGAGGGCAUACUGCAGCAAGAAAAGGACUCUAUUUCCAAUGCAGCAAGGAUAUUACAAGCCCAACAAAUUGCUCUUGAAAUUCUUGCAAACCUGUGCUCUGGAGAUGAUGAAGAAGGUGAGAUGGAUCUUGAUGAUUCUGAUGUUGAGGAAAUGAGUGACUCUAGCUUUGGGGAGGAAGGAGGCAGCAAAGAAGCUCUGCCUGCUUCAGUUCCAUCAGAUGUCCUGGAGGCUGUCGUGAGUCAACGUUUAAUAACCAAAGUAUGGGACAAGACCCAGCUACCAGCAGAGAAUGUUUGUGAUAUUCUUUGUGAGGAUCCAGACACCCAGAUACUUUUCAACAGGUUGGGACUCCUUCGCAGCAGAGCCUUUCUUUGCCUUCAAAAUUUGCUGGCAGUCAUGGAUCUGGAAGAGUUGGGUGGUAGCAAUGAUUUGUAUAAUAUGUGGCUUGAGACCACCAAGUUGGUGUUUGAGAAAACAAAGGCUGACGAUUUGCAGUUAUUGGAAGCUGCAACAUCUGUAAUGAGGGCUGCUGUUCUGCGUCUUGCUGAAGCAAAAGCAACGCAGUUCUCCACCCUGACUGAAAAUGAUCUGAAGAUGCUUCUGCAGUGUGAAAGUCAAUGUGAACAUGCUAAUGUUAGAGCAAACCUUAUCCGGAUUGUAAGUUCCAUUGGACAAAUGCUAACCCCUUCUCUCUCUCCGCAUCUAACUGUGAUUGGCAAGUUUCUAAUGGAUGCAGCAGUUCGCGAUGCAGAGCUUUGGGUUACUGCAGAGGCGUUGGAUUGCAUAUUUGACGUUUUUGGAGAAGAUGAAACUGAUAAAGCAGCUUUUGAUAUUGAUUUAGUUAACAGACUUCGGGGACUAGCUCCAGCUUUGAAGAAUAAGGUCCGCCUGCAAAAGAAGAAUUUGGGAGACCAUUACCAUCUUGUUAUGACAGCUAGCAAUAACUUAAAUCGGUUCAUUAAGUAUAAAAGUAAUAGAUUGGCCAGUUUCAAAGCUAUUGGUCAUAGCUAAACUUCUUCCGGACAAAAAAAGAAGGAACAAAGCAAUGACAUCAAAUUUUGACAAGAUUAUCGCAAUGGCACAACUUUUGUAAAUAUUUUGAAUUGUAGGCUGUAUUUAAUUUAAAUAUCCUAUGGCCUCCUCAAUGGAAUAGCAGUUUUGCGUGACCUGUUAAAGUCAUCAAAAAAGGAUUAGCCUCUCUAUCCUUGUUGAAAUUAAAUUAUGAAUUUGAAGUGUAACAGUCUAUGUUACUGUCAUCUUUUAAGAAGCCAAUAAUAGUAUUCAGUAACUUAAAUUAAUGGGAAUACUGUAUGGAACCUUUACCCUGUUAAAGCAUUAGCUCAUGAUCAUUUGAUCUGCUUUAACCACAGAGAGUAUGUGGGGUUUGAAAAUUUUCUGCUAACAUAGAUUACGUUGCUCAAGGGCAUUGUCUUCUUUUAAGUGCAGUAUUGAUCAUUACCUGAUUUUGGGGACCUGUCUCAGAUGGUACUGAAGUCAAGUUAUGGAAUUGUUUUGUUGUGUUUUUUUUUUUCCAUGUUUUCAGUUGUAGUACUCCUACCUAAUGAAUGAAGUUGUCAUAUGUGAAAUAGUAAACCAAUAUAUAUUUCAAUCAUUACCA
This 2771-nucleotide unclassified non-coding RNA is filed under the name Thrips palmi. Its description in RNAcentral is "hEAT repeat-containing protein 3, transcript variant X1". Lineage: Eukaryota; Metazoa; Arthropoda; Insecta; Thysanoptera; Thripidae. The record is from RNAcentral.